This 346-nucleotide unclassified non-coding RNA is filed under the name soil metagenome. Its description in RNAcentral is "partial contains 5.8S ribosomal RNA, internal transcribed spacer 2, and large subunit ribosomal RNA". The stretch from base 4 to 118 matches the Rfam family "5.8S ribosomal RNA", at positions 40 to 154 of the family's 154-position model. The record is from RNAcentral.
GAUAGAACGUAGCGAAAUGCGAUAAGUAAUGUGAAUUGCAGAAUUCAGUGAAUCAUCGAGUCUUUGAACGCACAUUGCGCCCCCUGGUAUUCCGGGGGGCAUGCCUGUCCGAGCGUCAUUGCUGCCCUCAAGCACGGCUUGUGUGUUGGGCCCCGCCCCCCGGCUCCCGGGGGGCGGGCCCGAAAGGCAGCGGCGGCACCGCGUCCGGUCCUCGAGCGUAUGGGGCUUCGUCACCCGCUCCGUAGGCCCGGCCGGCGCCCGCCGGCGACCCCCCUCAAUCUUUUCAGGUUGACCUCGGAUCAGGUAGGGAUACCCGCUGAACUUAAGCAUAUCAAUAAGCGGAGGA